AAUAUCUUUGUUAAUAGGGCUUAAAAGGAAUGAACUGCUUGGGUUUUGUAAGAGAACAACAUCGAUUUCACCUCACCUCACAUGGCCAGCCCAAUAUAUGAAAACAGCUGAGCUGUAAUAGAAAGCACUAGAAAGACUCUUGGUCUUAAUUCAAGCUGUCAAUCCUGUAAUUCAAACAAUAGUUUGGCUGGUCUGUGGGGCCUUGGAGACUUUUCCACUCCAAAGUUUCAAUGGGACAAUAAGCCACCAAGACCACAGCAGUGUGUGACUACUGCAAUGCUUCCCAGACACUUCAACCACCUGACCCCCUCCAGGGCUCUGACUGAAAGGUGCAGUGGCUUUUAGCCCACCUACAAAGGUGUCCUCUAUGCAGAUGAGAGCAAGGGGAGGCAUGGUUGGAAAUCACCAGGGAGUGGAGGGCUUAAGUGCCGUCCUCUCCUUUAGACAUAACUUGUGAAAUCCAGGGAAACCUGAAAGCCGUUAGGCAGGAGGAAAGUGUUUGGCUUCAUGCAUGACAGAGAAACCUGCCCAAUUGUUUUCUGGCCAGUUUGUUUCCACUGCACAUAGACCCCUCCCCAGCUGGUAUUUUCUUCUUUAACUCGCUCUUUGAAGCUGUGUACACUGGAACCCGAUACCUGAUGUGUAUGCGAGGGAGAGCUCUGCUGCACCAGAGGCACCAUAAAUAACUACUCACAUCAGAGGUCACAGCAGUAAAAAGGCUGAGAAAAAGACAGGUUGCAGAAUUUUUUGUCUAGCAUCUUUGAAGAAGUUAUGUGCAUACCCAGAAAUCAGACUGCAAAGGCAGGAAAUCUUCCUACAGCUCCUCUGAAAGAAUAAGGAAGUGGUUCAUCCAAAUACCUGAGUCCAGGAUAUCCUAAGGACUUGCAGUUAAUACAGUACAGUAGAAGAGAUAGCAAUAGAUCCAAGCAUCAGAGGGGGGACACAAACAAAGGACAUAGGAGACGAAUGAGCAGCAAACUGCUACGGCUGGGAAAGCAGCAUGGCUCAGAGGAACAGCAGAAAUAGCUUCCUGCUUUCCUGAUAUCCUGAGAAGAGGAAUCUGUAAUUAGGAUAUAAGGGAAUAUUCUUGCAAUCUGUUUCUGACAGUGGAAAAACAAUUUCUCUACUAUUUUAAUGACUCAUCUGUUUGGAAAGCAUGAUGAAUAUCGACGGAUCUGACAGCAUCCUGUCUGUUGCAUAGGAAACAAAAAUUUGAGAAUUUGUAAAAAAGUUAAAAAAUGAGAAUAAUGAAUGUCCAAAAUAUGGAAAGAAAUCAAAUAAGAAAUCAUUGAUACCCCUCCAGCUACUAAAACCUUUAAAUGAUUAAUCUUUUCUAAGAUUUAUUAAUAAAAAUUAAAAAUUGAGUAGUGGAAAUUCAGUCUCUUAGAUUAAAUAAAUACUGCACUAGUAAAAGCUUACACUGAACUGAAAAACAAGUGAGAAAAUGAUUGCUAAAAACUUACUGAGCUUUUCUGUAAGUGCACAUGGAUAAACACAAUUAUUUUGGAAUUUAUAACUUUGGAUGUGCAGUAUAAAGAGAAGAAUGAAUAUUUUAAAUCAUUUUCCCCAAAUCUCUGUGGCAUGUUAACAUUUCUAAGGAAUUUUAUAAAGAAAAUGAAGAUAAUAGAUAUUUGCUAUGCAAUUCUUUGUAACAAUACAAUAGAAGCUCAGUGCUUAAUAUUGAGCAACUUGGUGGAAUUGGAAUACAUUUUUUUUCUUCAAAAACAUAGAUAUGACAAAUGUGUGUCUAUUUAAGACAGCUUGAGAGCCAACAAGAGAUGACAGCAGAACUGGCCAUCUUCUGUCAACAUCAUCCUUGCCAGAUUCAGUCUGCAAAUGAAGCUCACAACUUAGUGUCUUAGUGUCUACUGUGUUUAAAAUGAGGACUGAGAAAUUUGCAUUCCAGUAUGUAUUGCAAAAACUGCUGAUGAGAUAUGAGAAAGCAAACAUGUAAGAGCUCAGCUCUUGCUGCCCUUACUAAAUGAACAUGUCCAAUUCUUGGCAUUGUAGAUCAUAACCAAAGGAGACUUUUUCACCUGGCAAGACAAUUCAUGUUAGGGAAAAUUUGUUCUCUUUCUUUAUUUCACAGCACAGCAGAAGCUUGAAUAAGUGGGAUGUGACAGGAAAAUCAGGUCUUUUUGUUGUAAGUUGUGAUUUUUUAAGAACAAAACUUCACAAGUACUAUUAAGAAUAAGAAUAUUAAUUUACUGCAGAGCAAUAAUUUUUUAAACUUUUCUAAAAUAAUAGGCUACAUCUCUACUUAUAUCUGGGUAUUUCUUUGCUUCUCAGAAUUAUCUGUACCAUACUGCAAGUGGCACAUAUUUAUUUUCUCAUCAGAUUUUUUGGUAGUUGAAAAUUAACUUUGUGAAGGUCAAAGAUGCAAUGUCAUCUUCAGGUGUUUAAAUUACAGUCAUUUCAACACCUCCUCAUUACUUGUUACUCUUUGGUCUUUUUUUCUCCUUUUAUUUCAACAUUGUUUACUUGACACUAAAUUUGGUCAUAACAGUAAAAAAUACACCUUAAAUAGGAUAAUAUACAUCACUUUUUCAACAUUUCUCUGCUUGACAAUUAUCAUUUUGGGCACAAAACUCUUGUUAAUUUCUGCUGUGCAACAUAUGGAUAAUUUCUUUCUAUUUCCACUGCAUUUAGUAUUGCAAUAACUGCUGAUAGUUCUGCCACUGUUUCCACUUGUCCCUUGAAAUGCAGGAAUCUUCUCUGCAUGCUUGAUGUAAUAUGGUUGUUUUCUGCAGCAUAGCUGAUGAGCUCUUCGAUUGGAUUUUAAAUAUAUAAAUUAUAUCAUAUUGUUUCAAGAGUUAAUUACUUCUUUUAAAAAGUUCUAUAGUUUCUAAUUACAACUAGCUUUCAGUGCUGGAUAAUUCCUGCUUACAUACAAUUUGCACUAUGAUCAUACCCUGCACAGUCAAAAAGUCCUGCAGGCUAUCCUGCAAUAUUGUGGAAUCUAAAAUAGUCCAGACAUGGUAUUUGCUCUGACUACCAUCAUUAGAGGUGGUGAUGCUGAAGGUAUUUAUGUUGACAAAGUUUUAGAAAGGAGGUGCAAACAACUGUGUGAGUUCUGCAAACACGUGGAAGCUGCUGGUGAAACUUGGCCCACAAUUUUAUAUGGGCCAAGUAACAGGGGUCCAACCUAUAAGGAGGAUGAACUGAACGUCAUGGGACAAACACAGUCCCCAGCCCCAAAGUCCAGAGCUGGUUGCAGAUGCUUAUCCACACAACCUUUG
Molecule: long non-coding RNA, 3239 nt
Organism: Passer domesticus (house sparrow)
Lineage: Eukaryota; Metazoa; Chordata; Aves; Passeriformes; Passeridae
Exons: 3
Source: RefSeq, a predicted model, not a curated record